Molecule: RNase P RNA, 339 nt
Filed under: Ottowia sp.
Lineage: Bacteria; Pseudomonadati; Pseudomonadota; Betaproteobacteria; Burkholderiales; Comamonadaceae
Description: RNase P RNA component class A
Rfam family: Bacterial RNase P class A
About the family: Ribonuclease P (RNase P) is a ubiquitous endoribonuclease, found in archaea, bacteria and eukarya as well as chloroplasts and mitochondria. Its best characterised activity is the generation of mature 5'-ends of tRNAs by cleaving the 5'-leader elements of precursor-tRNAs. Cellular RNase Ps are ribonucleoproteins.
Source: RNAcentral
GAAGCCCGCCAGACCGCCGCUGGCGCAAGGCCCGAAAGGGCGCGCUGGAGGAACGUCCGGACUGCACAGGGCAGCGCAGGAGCUAACGGCUCUCCACCGUGAGGUGAGGAUCAGAGCAACAGAGACGAGUCGUGCCGGGGCAACCCGGUGCGGGUGAAACGGGCAAUCUCUGCGCGCAGCAACACCAAGUAGGUUGGCUUUGAGGCGGCCCGCCGAGCCAACGGGUAGGUGGCACCGAGCCGUCCGGGUGACCGGCGGCCCAGAUGGAUGGCGGUCACGGCGCCGGCCUCGCAAGGGGCAGGCGCCGCACAGAAUCCGGCGUACCGGCGGACUUCACAC